GCGCCCAUAGCUCAGUGGAUAGAGCAACGGCCUUCUAAGCCGUGGGCCGCAAGUUCGAUCCUUGCUGGGCGCGCCA
Molecule: transfer RNA, 76 nt
Filed under: Candidatus Saccharimonadota bacterium
Lineage: Bacteria; Candidatus Saccharimonadota
Description: tRNA-Arg
Rfam family: tRNA
About the family: Transfer RNA (tRNA) molecules are approximately 80 nucleotides in length. Their secondary structure includes four short double-helical elements and three loops (D, anti-codon, and T loops).
Source: RNAcentral